UUAUUGUUGACCUAUGGGGCCUUCAAGCCCCGAAGCCUUCCAACACUCUGAAGAUCGGCGGGAUGACUGUGCAACUGCCAUCCGCCGGGGAGAUGAGCCAAAUGUGCACACAGCAAGCCGGCUCUGACCGAGAGCUUGCCAAGGCUCUGAAGGUGUUCUACCAAAGCAUGAACACGGCAAGAGGGCAGCUUUUCAGACUCAGACGGCACCAACCUCCGGUAAGGAACUGGAAUCCUGGGAGCACACAGAAUUUCUUUCCAUCCAAUUUAGACAUUUGAUGUAACUAUUUCCUGAGCUUGGAGACGUAUAUGCUGAAGCGGAAGAGCAAGGCGAGGAGGCCCUGCUUGACCUGCUCUGUGAGCGCGAAUCUGCUGCCCUCUCAGGCCGUCGUCCGUCUCUGCUCUGACCUUUUUAUUUGAGUGCACAUCCGGCUGGCUCCGCGCUACCACGGUCACUGCACGACUGAUACCCACUCACUUUACAAUGCAAUAUACAGACUACCCUGUUUGGUUUAUCAUUAUAAAACCCAAUGUAAU
RNAcentral lists this long non-coding RNA (536 nucleotides) under Pan troglodytes (chimpanzee). RNAcentral describes it as "long non-coding RNA NONPTRT001522". The record is from RNAcentral. Lineage: Eukaryota; Metazoa; Chordata; Mammalia; Primates; Hominidae.